This 30-nucleotide non-coding RNA is filed under the name Rattus norvegicus (Norway rat). The record is from RNAcentral. Lineage: Eukaryota; Metazoa; Chordata; Mammalia; Rodentia; Muridae.
UCAGACAUCUAUACGCCCUCGAGGUUAGAG